Molecule: ribosomal RNA, 418 nt
Filed under: uncultured bacterium
Lineage: Bacteria
Description: bacterial SSU rRNA
Rfam family: Bacterial small subunit ribosomal RNA
Source: RNAcentral
GGAAUAUUGGUCAAUGGCCGAGAGGCUGAACCAGCCAUGCCGCGUGCGGGAGGACGGCCCUAUGGGUUGUAAACCGCUUUUGUUGGGGAGCAAUAAGGAGCACGCGUGCUUCGAUGAGAGUACCCAGCGAAUAAGCAUCGGCUAACUCCGUGCCAGCAGCCGCGGUAAUACGGAGGAUGCGAGCGUUAUCCGGAUUUAUUGGGUUUAAAGGGUGCGUAGGCGGAUUAUUAAGUCAGCGGUGAAAGCGUGUGGCUCAACCAUACCGAGCCGUUGAAACUGGUAGUCUUGAGUGCAAACGAGGUAGGCGGAAUGUGACGUGUAGCGGUGAAAUGCUUAGAUAUGUCCCAGAACUCCGAUUGCGAAGGCAGCUUACCAGCAUGUAACUGACGCUCAGGCACGAAAGCGUGGGUAUCAAACA